AGGGAAUCUUCCGCAAUGGACGAAAGUCUGACGGAGCAACGCCGCGUGAGUGAUGAAGGUUUUCGGAUCGUAAAGCUCUGUUGUUAGGGAAGAACAAGUGCCGUUUGAAUAAGGCGGCACCUUGACGGUACCUAACCAGAAAGCCACGGCUAACUACGUGCCAGCAGCCGCGGUAAUACGUAGGUGGCAAGCGUUGUCCGGAAUUAUUGGGCGUAAAGCGCGCGCAGGCGGUCUCUUAAGUCUGAUGUGAAAGCCCACGGCUCAACCGUGGAGGGUCAUUGGAAACUGGGAGACUUGAGUACAGAAGAGGAGAGUGGAAUUCCACGUGUAGCGGUGAAAUGCGUAGAUAUGUGGAGGAACACCAGUGGCGAAGGCGACUCUCUGGUCUGUAACUGACGCUGAGGCGCGAAAGCGUGGGGAGCAAAC
Molecule: ribosomal RNA, 426 nt
Filed under: uncultured bacterium
Lineage: Bacteria
Description: bacterial SSU rRNA
Rfam family: Bacterial small subunit ribosomal RNA
Source: RNAcentral